This 620-nucleotide ribosomal RNA is filed under the name uncultured Gammaproteobacteria bacterium. RNAcentral describes it as "bacterial SSU rRNA". It matches the Rfam family "Bacterial small subunit ribosomal RNA", at positions 8 to 613 of the family's 1533-position model. The record is from RNAcentral. Lineage: Bacteria; Pseudomonadati; Pseudomonadota; Gammaproteobacteria.
AGAGUUUUGAUCCUGGCUCAGAGUGAACGCUGGCGGUAGGCCUAACACAUGCAAGUCGAACGGCAGCACAGUAAGAGCUUGCUCUUAUGGGUGGCGAGUGGCGGACGGGUGAGGAAUACAUCGGAAUCUACUUUUUCGUGGGGGAUAACGUAGGGAAACUUACGCUAAUACCGCAUACGACCUUCGGGUGAAAGCAGGGGACCUUCGGGCCUUGCGCGAUUGAAUGAGCCGAUGUCGGAUUAGCUAGUUGGCGGGGUAAAGGCCCACCAAGGCGACGAUCCGUAGCUGGUCUGAGAGGAUGAUCAGCCACACUGGAACUGAGACACGGUCCAGACUCCUACGGGAGGCAGCAGUGGGGAAUAUUGGACAAUGGGCGCAAGCCUGAUCCAGCCAUACCGCGUGGNGUGAAGAAGGCCUUCGGGUUGUAAAGCCCUUUUGUUGGGAAAGAAAAGCAGCGGGCUAAUACCUUGCUGUUCUGACGGUACCCAAAGAAUAAGCACCGGCUAACUUCGUGCCAGCAGCCGCGGUAAUACGAAGGGUGCAAGCGUUACUCGGAAUUACUGGGCGUAAAGCGUGCGUAGGUGGUUGUUUAAGUCUGUUGGAAAGCCCUGGGCCUCAAC